UGAGGAAUAUUGGUCAAUGGGAGAGAUCCUGAACCAGCCAAGCCGCGUGAGGGAAGACGCCCUAUGGGUUGUAAACCUUCUUUUGUCGGAGAACAAAACCUGGGGACGUGUCCCGGACUGCGUGUAUCCGAAGAAAAAGCAUCGGCUAACUCCGUGCC
Molecule: ribosomal RNA, 158 nt
Filed under: uncultured bacterium
Lineage: Bacteria
Description: partial 16S ribosomal RNA
Rfam family: Bacterial small subunit ribosomal RNA
Source: RNAcentral